GGAGUUUAGCUCAGCUGGGAGAGCAUCUGCCUUACAAGCAGAGGGUCAGCGGUUCGAUCCCGCUAGGCUCCA
Molecule: transfer RNA, 72 nt
Filed under: Streptococcus pneumoniae
Lineage: Bacteria; Bacillati; Bacillota; Bacilli; Lactobacillales; Streptococcaceae
Description: tRNA-Val(tac)
Rfam family: tRNA
About the family: Transfer RNA (tRNA) molecules are approximately 80 nucleotides in length. Their secondary structure includes four short double-helical elements and three loops (D, anti-codon, and T loops).
Source: RNAcentral